This 161-nucleotide unclassified non-coding RNA is filed under the name soil metagenome. RNAcentral describes it as "partial internal transcribed spacer 1". The record is from RNAcentral.
CAGAGUUGCAAGACUCCCUAAACCAUUGUGAACCUACCUUCUACCGUUGCUGUCGGCGGGCGGGCCCAGCGCCCCCCCCGGCCCCCCGCGGGCGCCCGCCGGAGGAUACCCAAACUCUUGACAUUAGUGGCCUCUCUGAGUAUUCUUUACUGAAUAAGUCA